UGCCCUCCCCUACCCGAAAGGUGCAGAGGAGGGCAAUGAAUGACAGAAAGAAAAGGGCAAGGACCCUAGAAACCAAGAAGAAUCGAGAAAAUAUUCUCUCUUCAGAAACCCGUAAAGAGAGAGAGUAAAGAAGAGUGGCUUGCUAGUUGCUAGUACAGGAAAUGGUUGGAUGAUAAUUAUUUUCAGCAUGGCUGCCUUAAGGUGGAAAAUGGGAUAUUACUUUUGACAUGAUUUAUGGUGCGGGGAACUGCCCCACGAAG
RNAcentral lists this unclassified non-coding RNA (260 nucleotides) under Hevea brasiliensis (rubber tree). Lineage: Eukaryota; Viridiplantae; Streptophyta; Magnoliopsida; Malpighiales; Euphorbiaceae. The record is from RNAcentral.